RNAcentral lists this ribosomal RNA (793 nucleotides) under uncultured bacterium. RNAcentral's name for it is "bacterial SSU rRNA". It matches the Rfam family "Bacterial small subunit ribosomal RNA", at positions 62 to 862 of the family's 1533-position model. The record is from RNAcentral.
UCGAACGAGGUCCAUCCAGUGGCAACACUGGUGAAGACCGAGUGGCGAACGGGUGAGUAACACGUGAGGAACCUACCCCGGUCUCUGGAAUAACAGGUGGAAACACCUGCUAAUACCGGAUGCCGUCGGAGCACCACCUGGUGCACUGACGAAAGAUUCAUCGGAUCGGGAGGGCCUCGCGGCCUAUCAGCUUGUUGGUGGGGUAACGGCCUACCAAGGCGUCGACGGGUAGCUGGUCUGAGAGGAUGAUCAGCCACACUGGGACUGAGACACGGCCCAGACUCCUACGGGAGGCAGCAGUGGGGAAUCUUGCGCAAUGGGCGAAAGCCUGACGCAGCAACGCCGCGUGCGGGAAGAAGGCUCUCGGGUUGUAAACCGCUUUCAGAAGGAACGAAACUGACGGUACUUUCAGAAGAAGGUGCGGCCAACUACGUGCCAGCAGCCGCGGUGACACGUAGGCACCAAGCGUUGUCCGGAUUUAUUGGGCGUAAAGAGCUCGUAGGCGGUUCAGUAAGUCGGGUGUGAAAACUCUGGGCUCAACCCAGAGAUGCCACCCGAUACUGCUGUGACUUGAGUACGGUAGGGGAGCAGGGAAUUCCUGGUGUAGCGGUGAAAUGCGCAGAUAUCAGGAGGAACACCGGUGGCGAAGGCGCUGCUCUGGGCCGAAACUGACGCUGAGGAGCGAAAGCGUGGGUAACAAACAGGAUUAGAUACCCUGGUAGUCCACGCCGUAAACGUUGGGCACUAGGUGUGGGCUCUAACCAACGGAGUCCGCGCCGUCGCUAACGCAUUA